GUUUGCUAAGCAGCAUCUCCGGAACAGCCCCCGUGCUAUAUGUUGUUUCUUGUGCUGGAUCUCCCAGGUGGAUCCCGGACAGGAUGCUGCAGGUGGUGCAGGAAGGCAAUCUUGCCCCAUUCGUCAUCAACACAGUGAAAAGGGGUCGAAGAGACCGAGAGCGCCAGAGGACGCCACGGGCUCCACAUCCGCUUGGACUCCGGGAAAGGCUAUACAUCUGCGAAAGCCCUAAUCACAGAGGGAACGACUGCUCGUUCCUGGCCCAGAAAUGAGAUGAGAAAUCCAAGGCCCCGUACAGGAAGG
This 303-nucleotide long non-coding RNA is filed under the name Macaca nemestrina (pig-tailed macaque). RNAcentral describes it as "lncRNA (ENSMNEG00000045830.1)". The record is from RNAcentral. Lineage: Eukaryota; Metazoa; Chordata; Mammalia; Primates; Cercopithecidae.